Molecule: ribosomal RNA, 466 nt
Filed under: uncultured bacterium
Lineage: Bacteria
Description: partial 16S ribosomal RNA
Rfam family: Bacterial small subunit ribosomal RNA
Source: RNAcentral
GAUGAACGCUGGCGGCGUGCCUAACACAUGCACGUCGAGCGAACCCUUCGGGGUGAGCGGCGGACGGGUGAGUAACGCGUGGGUAACCUGCCCUAUACACACGGAUAACGUACCGAAAGGUACGCUAAUACGGGAUAAAGUUGUUGGAUGGCAUCUUCUAACAAUCAAAGCUCUGGCGGUAUAGGAUGGACCCGCGUCUGAUUAGCUAGUUGGUGAGGUAAUGGCUCACCAGGGCGACGAUCAGUAGCCGACCUGAGAGGGGGAUCGGCCACACUGGAACUGAGACACGGUCCAGACUCCUACGGGAGGCAGCAGUGGGGAAUAUUGCACAAUGGGCGAAAGCCUGAUGCAGCAACGCCGCGUGAGCGAUGAAGGUCUUCGGAUCGUAAAGCUCUGUCCUCAAGGAAGAUAAUGACGGUACUUGAGGAGGAAGCCCCGGCUAACUACGUGCCAGCCGCCGCAGUAA